Rhinopithecus bieti (black snub-nosed monkey) is the source of this 244-nucleotide unclassified non-coding RNA. It matches the Rfam family "Metazoan signal recognition particle RNA". From Rfam's summary of the family: The signal recognition particle (SRP) is a universally conserved ribonucleoprotein. It is involved in the co-translational targeting of proteins to membranes. The eukaryotic SRP consists of a 300-nucleotide 7S RNA and six proteins: SRPs 72, 68, 54, 19, 14, and 9. NCBI's taxonomy places the organism in Eukaryota, Metazoa, Chordata, Mammalia, Primates, Cercopithecidae. The record is from Ensembl.
ACCAGGUGCGGUUGUGCACACCUGUAGCCCCAGCUACUUAGGAGGCUGUGGCAGGAGGAUCGCUUGAGUACAGGAGCUCUGGACUGUAGUGCACUAUGCUGAUCUGGUGUCUGGACCAAGUUUGGCAUCAGUAUGGUGACCUCUUGGGAGCAGGUCAAAACUCCUGUGCUGAUCAGUAGUGGGAUCACGCCUGUGAAUAGCCACUAUACUCUAGUCUGGGCAACAUGGCGAGACUCUUGUUUCC